Molecule: unclassified non-coding RNA, 155 nt
Filed under: Coniochaeta acaciae
Lineage: Eukaryota; Fungi; Ascomycota; Sordariomycetes; Coniochaetales; Coniochaetaceae
Description: partial internal transcribed spacer 2
Source: RNAcentral
CAACCCUCAAGCCCUGCUUGGUGUUGGGGCCCUACGGCUGCCGUAGGCCCUGAAAGGAAGUGGCGGGCUCGCUACAACUCCGAGCGUAGUAAUUCAUUAUCUCGCUUAGGGCGUUGUGCGGUGCUCCAGCCGUUAAAGACACCUCUUUAACUCAA